AGCUGCGGUAAUACGUAGGGUGCGAGCGUUGUCCGGAAUUACUGGGCGUAAAGAGCUCGUAGGCGGUUUGUCGCGUCGUCUGUGAAAUUCUGCAACUCAAUUGCAGGCGUGCAGGCGAUACGGGCAGACUUGAGUACUACAGGGGAGACUGGAAUUCCUGGUGUAGCGGUGAAAUGCGCAGAUAUCAGGAGGAACACCGGUGGCGAAGGCGGGUCUCUGGGUAGUAACUGACGCUGAGGAGCGAAAGCGUGGGUAGCGAACAGAAUUAGAUACCCUGGUAGUCCACGCCGUAAACGGUGGGUACUAGGUGUGGGUUCCAUUUCACGGGAUCCGUGCCGUAGCUAACGCAUUAAGUACCCCGCCUGGGGA
Molecule: ribosomal RNA, 369 nt
Filed under: uncultured bacterium
Lineage: Bacteria
Description: bacterial SSU rRNA
Rfam family: Bacterial small subunit ribosomal RNA
Source: RNAcentral